AUAUUUGCCUAACAGGGUAUCAGCUGCUCAUGCCUUGAUCACACAGCUUUCCCAGGGAGAGGCUCAUCUGCCUCACUCUGGGUGUGUUAAUCCCCGUGAUUUCUUCAAAUGUGGGAAACUCAACUGUGUAAUUUGUGAUAGCCAGAGACUGUGCUCACACUCUCCCC
This is a small nuclear RNA of Sorex araneus (European shrew), 167 nucleotides long. Its record names the gene U1. It matches the Rfam family "U1 spliceosomal RNA". Rfam says of the family: U1 is a small nuclear RNA (snRNA) component of the spliceosome (involved in pre-mRNA splicing). Its 5' end forms complementary base pairs with the 5' splice junction, thus defining the 5' donor site of an intron. Lineage: Eukaryota; Metazoa; Chordata; Mammalia; Eulipotyphla; Soricidae. The record is from Ensembl.